Molecule: long non-coding RNA, 312 nt
Organism: Hyla sarda
Lineage: Eukaryota; Metazoa; Chordata; Amphibia; Anura; Hylidae
Exons: 3
Source: RefSeq, a predicted model, not a curated record
CCAAUUCUACACACUAAUAAGGCAUAUUCUCCAAAAAGGCACAAACAGAAUGGAAUCUGCUCUUUAGAGAAACAAAAGGUUGCCUUCACACAUUGACCGUGAUUUACUAAAAGUGGAGUUGUUUUGGAAAUUGCCUGGGAGAAGAAGCAGAAAUGAGGUUCGGGAUACCUUUCCGGAUUCCAGCGUAGGUGCUGUUAAGUCCACUGCGUUUCUUGCGAUGACGGUACAACCAGAUGCUAAAGACCAUCAGGAUGAUCCAGCAAGCAGCCCCGAUCCCUGCAAUAAAGGCCGGUUGCUUUACAACAUCUGAUA